UCGCCCUUAAGUUUGAUCCUGGCUCAUAACGAACGCUGGCGGCAGGCUUAACACAUGCAAGUCGAACGAUAAAGCACCUUCGGGUGCGAGUAUAGUGGCGAACGGGUUAGUAACGCGUGGGAACAUACACAGCACUGGGGGAUAACCAUUGGAAACGAUGGCUAAUACCGCCCACGCCCUACGGGGGAAAGAUUUAUUGGUGUUGGAUUGGCCCGCGUUAUAUUAGUUUGUUGGUGAGGUAAUGGCUCACCAAGGCUACUAUCUAUAGCUGGUUUGAUAGGAUGAUCACCAACACUGGAACUGAAACACGGUCCAUACUCCUACGGGAGGCAGCAGUGGGGAAUAUUGCACAAUGGGGGAAACCCUGAUGCAGCCAUGCCGCGUGAGUGAAGAAGGCCUUAGGGUUGUAAAGCUCUUUCAGAUGUGAGGAUGAUGACUAUAACAUCACAAGAAGCUCCGGCUAACUUCAUGCCAGCACCCGCGGUA
This 486-nucleotide ribosomal RNA is filed under the name uncultured Alphaproteobacteria bacterium. RNAcentral describes it as "bacterial SSU rRNA". It matches the Rfam family "Bacterial small subunit ribosomal RNA", at positions 1 to 522 of the family's 1533-position model. The record is from RNAcentral. Lineage: Bacteria; Pseudomonadati; Pseudomonadota; Alphaproteobacteria.